Molecule: long non-coding RNA, 1868 nt
Filed under: Equus caballus (horse)
Lineage: Eukaryota; Metazoa; Chordata; Mammalia; Perissodactyla; Equidae
Description: lncRNA (ENSECAG00000044528.1)
Source: RNAcentral
AACAUGACUUAGGAGAAAAUCUAGAUGACCUUGGGUAUGGUGAUGACUUUUCAGAUAUACUGCAAAAGCAUGAUCCACGAAAGAAACAAUUGACAAGAUGGACUUCACUAAAAUUUAAAGCUUCUGCCCUGUGAAAGAUGCUGUCAAGGGAAUGAGAAGACAAGCCACAGACUGGGAGAAAAUAUUUGCAAAAGACACAACUGAUAAGAACUGUUAUCUAAGAUAUACAAAGAAUUCAAAACCAAUAAUAAAAUCAAAACCCUGAUUAAAUUUGGUUAAAAGACCUGAGCAGAGACCUUGCCAAAGAUUAUAUACAGAUGGCAAAUAAGCCUAUGAAAAGGUGCCCCACAUCAUACGCCAUCAGGGAAAUGCAAAUGGAAACAACAACGAAAUGUGUUCCCACUAACCUUCCAUUAAACCCUGGUCCUGAGAAAGACCCAAGGGGCCUCAUCCAAAGCCACAUUCCCCCCUUGGCCUAAACCCUUCCAGCCUGGAACUUCAGCCCCUAAUUCACCUGGCUACGUCCUCCUCAUUGUCCAGGUCUCAUUGUAAAGACCACUUUCUAGGGAGACCUACCCUGAGUAAUCCCCUUCCCAAUGUGCAUAUGUUAUUUUAUAUGUUCAUUAUUCUGGUAAGACAAAAUCUUUGCCUUCUAGGCAGAUUACUCAGAAAGCAAGAAAACCUCUUUAUAACCUCUUAUUAAUAAUAGACCAAUAAUCUAGGAAAAUUUUGUGAUCCUUACAGAGAGAACAUCAAAUUCUGGUUUUGUAUCAGUAUAAUAUUUGAUGCUAAAGCUCAAAAAAACUUCUUGUAAGUGAAACCUUAGGCAGCUUUGACAAUGACAAACAAAAUUCCCUCUGUGAGAAACUUCUACAACUUUCUACGUCCCUUCUGGGUUUUCCUGCGCUUUUCUUUUUCUCUUCCUGGAACAACCAGUCAUUUUACUUUAGGGUAAAAUUCUUUUCCCUUUCUUAAAUACAUCCUGAUUCAUGGCUUACAAAGUUGUUCCUUUCCGGCAUAUUUCUCCAGGCAGAGUCUCACCCACUGUUAUGGGCUGAACUGUGUUCUUCUAAAGUCCACACAUGGACGUCCUAACCCCCAGCACCUCAGAGUCUGACUGUAGCUGCAGACAGGCCUUUAAAGAGGUGAGUAAGUUAAACAAGGUCAUUGGGGGGCCCUGACCCCAUAUGACUGGUGCCCUUCUAAGAAGAGGCGAUGGGCACAGACGCACACAAAGGGAAAACCUGCUGAAGACACAGGGAGAGGACGGCCGUCUACAAGUCAAGGAGAGACGUCUCAGAAGAAACCAACCCUGCCGACUCUUCACCUUGGACUUCCAGCCUCCAGAGUUGUGAGAAAAUAAAAUUCUGUUGUUUAAGCCGCUCAGUCUCUGGUACUUUGUUAUGGUAGCCCAGCAACCAACACACUGAGAGGAAACUGAGGCAGAUGGUUGUGACUGUCUGCCAUCCACCAGGGUACUGUGGCAGACCAGCCAAGGACGACGAGGGAUGGGUGGUUUUAAGAUCAGUGUAAGUUCUCUGCUCGGAGCCCAGGCCCUUACAGACAAGCCCCUGCCAGGGGAUUUGCUAACAGGUUUCUGUUCUGGCCAGAAGGAAAACUCUGAGCUCCGCGGAUGUCUGCUGCUGGAUAAUGGAUGCUUCCCAGGCCUUCAAGAGUUUUUUAGGUAAAUGAAGAAGUCGACGUGUUCUCCAUUUCACAGUGAGGGUUGGAAGGUCGCCUGUCAGCUCCUCUGCCCCUCCUUCAGCGUGACCCUGGAGAGGACCUGCUUAGCCUUGGCCCCAAAUAUGCGCUGGAGUCCACCUUCAUUAAUUAUAGCUCAUCCUUCAUAAUUAAAGGACUACUUCGAG